CGCGGCCUAUCAGCUUGUUGGUGAGGUAACGGCUCACCAAGGCAUCGACGGGUAGCUGGUCUGAGAGGAUGAUCAGCCACACUGGGACUGAGACACGGCCCAGACUCCUACGGGAGGCAGCAGUGGGGAAUAUUGCACAAUGGGCGCAAGCCUGAUGCAGCAACGCCGCGUGCGGGAAGAAGGCCCUAGGGUUGUAAACCGCUUUCAGCAGGGAAGAAACUGACGGUACCUGCAGAAGAAGGUGCGGCCAACUACGUGCCAGCAGCCGCGGUGACACGUAGGCACCAAGCGUUGUCCGGAUUUAUUGGGCGUAAAGAGCUCGUAGGCGGUUCAGUAAGUCGGGUGUGAAAACUCUGGGCUCAACCCAGAGAGGCCACCCGAUACUGCUGUGACUUGAGUACGGUAGGGGGAACCGGGGGAAUUCCCUGGUGUAGCGGUGAAAAUUGGCCCAAAAAUUCCAGGGGGGGAAAACCCCUUGGGGGAAAAGGGCCCCCUCCCCGGGGCCCAAAAUUUUACCCCCUAAAAAAAAAAAAAAAACCCGGGGGGUGUCCCCCCGGGGGUUUUUAAACCCCCCCGGGGUACCCCCCCCCCCCCCAAAAAAAUUUGGGGGGACAAAGGGUGGGGGGUGUUUUCCCCCCACCCCAAAAUAUGUCCCCCCCCCCCCCCCCCCCAAAUUAUUAAUUUUCCCCCCCCCCCCCCCCGGGGGGGGGGGGAAAAAAAAAAAUUUCAUUUUUUUUUUUUUUCUCCGCCGCCCCCGCCGGCGGUGCUCUGUGUUUUUAGUAAAAAAAACACACCCCCCCCCCCCGCCCGGGGGGGGAGGGGUGUUAGUUUUUUUUUUUUUUUUUUUUUUUUGGCAGCUA
RNAcentral lists this ribosomal RNA (860 nucleotides) under Ilumatobacter fluminis. RNAcentral describes it as "partial 16S ribosomal RNA". The stretch from base 1 to 685 matches the Rfam family "Bacterial small subunit ribosomal RNA", at positions 232 to 1533 of the family's 1533-position model. The record is from RNAcentral. Lineage: Bacteria; Bacillati; Actinomycetota; Acidimicrobiia; Acidimicrobiales; Ilumatobacteraceae.